CUCAUGGCCACAUCACGAUCACCGAAGUUAAGCGAGGUCGAGAUUGGUCUGUACCAAGCUGGGUGAACUCUUGAGAAUAUCUGGUGCUGUAA
Non-coding RNA from Acanthosepion pharaonis, 92 nucleotides. Lineage: Eukaryota; Metazoa; Mollusca; Cephalopoda; Sepiida; Sepiidae. The record is from the annotation of a GenBank genome assembly.